This 208-nucleotide unclassified non-coding RNA is filed under the name Hevea brasiliensis (rubber tree). The record is from RNAcentral. Lineage: Eukaryota; Viridiplantae; Streptophyta; Magnoliopsida; Malpighiales; Euphorbiaceae.
CUCAAAAGCAACAGAAAGCUUCAGGGCUAUACGUACAUUACAUAAAAAAACAAACAACAAAUUCUAUGAAUAUAAUGGUAUGACCAUGAAAAUUGUUUCUUCGAGCUAUAAUGGUAUCUUAAAAAACCCACAAUUCUAUGAAUAUUAUACUGAUAGAUUAAGAUGAAAUUCACCCUGUCGUCUUCUGUAAUGUUCCUGCUAAAGAAGG